Long non-coding RNA from Ruditapes philippinarum (Manila clam), 835 nucleotides. RefSeq lists it as uncharacterized. NCBI's taxonomy places the organism in Eukaryota, Metazoa, Mollusca, Bivalvia, Venerida, Veneridae. The record is from RefSeq and is a predicted model, not a curated record. The transcript has 3 exons.
UGGAAAUAAUUUUUCACUUUCUAUUAACGCUUUAAGUAUUAGUUAAUAUGUUUUGUUGUUUGUUGUUUUAUUUUUUAGUUCUUUAUGAAUAAUAUUGAUUAAUAAAUUGAUAUUAGUUAAAACCCCGUUUAUAAAAUAACGCUGGUCAAGGGAAGUAAUUGUUGCGGUCUAUGAUUUUGUUUGUUGUCUAUGAUUAUCGUUCGUGCAAAUGGUGGCGCUGUUUGGAAAAUUUGAAAACAACACGAUUGGCAAUUUAUUUGGAUUUCGGAGAUCCUGGCCCUGGUUGAAAUUUAGAGAUUUGCAGCUGUAGCCUGUAUACCAUACAUUCAACAUGAAAAGGACUGUCAGGUUUGUUAAAUUGAAAUUUAUUCUUAUUAAUUUAUAUAUUUGAAUUUCUUUACUAUACAAAGUAUACAUUUUUCAACUACUGGAUAUUUAUCUUGUCUUAAAAUAUAUUAUUUUCGGAAUAUUCAUGUAACAUUAUUAAUAUAUAAAAUUUACAUUUUUUGUUGAUUUCAGGAUGCUGCAUAAAAUGGUCUUAGCUAGAGCUUAGAAUGUUAAUUUUUUGGGAAUAUGCUGCAAGGAACUGACGGGGAGCAAUUUUUCUUACCAAUCAUAGAAGCAGUAAGAGACAGCCAAAGAAGUACUCAAACACUUGACAUACCCAGAAAGAUCUAGAAGGAAAGAUUGGAACAGAUUGUAGUUUAAUUGUUAAAACUAUUGAAGUGAAUUUAAGCAGCACUUGAACUGUAUUUUUGAAAUAAAAUAUCUGAAGUAUUCAAUCUUGUCUUGAUAUUUUGUUAAACUUGGUUACUUUGCUUUUUAUCCAAAAAUU